UGGAUGGCGGCGUGCUAUACAUGCAGUCGAACGAACUCUGGUAUUGAUUGGUGCUUGCAUCAUGAUUUACAUUUGAGUGAGUGGCGAACUGGUGAGUAACACGUGGGAAACCUGCCCAGAAGCGGGGGAUAACACCUGGAAACAGAUGCUAAUACCGCAUAACAACUUGGACCGCAUGGUCCGAGUUUGAAAGAUGGCUUCGGCUAUCACUUUUGGAUGGUCCCGCGGCGUAUUAGCUAGAUGGUGGGGUAACGGCUCACCAUGGCAAUGAUACGUAGCCGACCUGAGAGGGUAAUCGGCCACAUUGGGACUGAGACACGGCCCAAACUCCUACGGGAGGCAGCAGUAGGGAAUCUUCCACAAUGGACGAAAGUCUGAUGGAGCAACGCCGCGUGAGUGAAGAAGGGUUUCGGCUCGUAAAACUCUGUUGUUGAAGAAGAACAUAUCUGAGAGUAACUGUUCAGGUAUUGACGGUAUUUAACCAGAAAGCCACGGCUAACUACGUGCCAGCAGCCGCGGUAAUACGUAGGUGGCAAGCGUUGUCCGGAUUUAUUGGGCGUAAAGCGAGCGCAGGCGGUUUUUUAAGUCUGAUGUGAAAGCCUUCGGCUCAACCGAAGAAGUGCAUCGGAAACUGGGAAACUUGAGUGCAGAAGAGGACAGUGGAACUCCAUGUGUAGCGGUGAAAUGCGUAGAUAUAUGGAAGAACACCAGUGGCGAAGGCGGCUGUCUGGUCUGUAACUGACGCUGAGGCUCGAAAGUAUGGGUAGCAAACAGGAUUAGAUACCCUGGUAGUCCAUACCGUAAACGAUGAAUGCUAAGUGUUGGAGGGUUUCCGCCCUUCAGUGCUGCAGCUAACGCAUUAAGCAUUCCGCCUGGGGAGUACGGCCGCAAGGCUGAAACUCAAAGGAAUUGACGGGGGCCCGCACAAGCGGUGGAGCAUGUGGUUUAAUUCGAAGCUACGCGAAGAACCUUACCAGGUCUUGACAUACUAUGCAAAUCUAAGAGAUUAGACGUUCCCUUCGGGGACAUGGAUACAGGUGGUGCAUGGUUGUCGUCAGCUCGUGUCGUGAGAUGUUGGGUUAAGUCCCGCAACGAGCGCAACCCUUAUUAUCAGUUGCCAGCAUUAAGUUGGGGCCUCUGGUGAAACUGCCGGGGACAAACCGGAGGAAAGGUGGGGAAGAAGGUCAAAACUCAAGGCCCCUUUAGACCGGGGCCAAACCCGGGGUCCAGGGAGGGGAAAACAAUUUGGAACCCCCAAGAAACUAAUCCCUUAAAACCCUUCCUUUUGGUUUGGGGGGGCCCCCCCC
Molecule: ribosomal RNA, 1307 nt
Filed under: Lactiplantibacillus plantarum
Lineage: Bacteria; Bacillati; Bacillota; Bacilli; Lactobacillales; Lactobacillaceae
Description: bacterial SSU rRNA
Rfam family: Bacterial small subunit ribosomal RNA
Source: RNAcentral